AAAUUGAAGAGUUUGAUCAUGGCUCAGAUUGAACGCUGGCGGCAGGCCUAACACAUGCAAGUCGAACGGUAACAGGAAGCAGCUUGCUGCUUUGCUGACGAGUGGCGGACGGGUGAGUAAUGUCUGGGAAACUGCCUGAUGGAGGGGGAUAACUACUGGAAACGGUGGCUAAUACCGCAUAACGUCGCAAGACCAAAGAGGGGGACCUUCGGGCCUCUUGCCAUCAGAUGUGCCCAGAUGGGAUUAGCUUGUUGGUGAGGUAACGGCUCACCAAGGCGACGAUCCCUAGCUGGUCUGAGAGGAUGACCAGCCACACUGGAACUGAGACACGGUCCAGACUCCUACGGGAGGCAGCAGUGGGGAAUAUUGCACAAUGGGCGCAAGCCUGAUGCAGCCAUGCCGCGUGUAUGAAGAAGGCCUUCGGGUUGUAAAGUACUUUCAGCGGGGAGGAAGGUGUUGUGGUUAAUAACCGCAGCAAUUGACGUUACCCGCAGAAGAAGCACCGGCUAACUCCGUGCCAGCAGCCGCGGUAAUACGGAGGGUGCAAGCGUUAAUCGGAAUUACUGGGCGUAAAGCGCACGCAGGCGGUCUGUCAAGUCGGAUGUGAAAUCCCCGGGCUCAACCUGGGAACUGCAUUCGAAACUGGCAGGCUUGAGUCUUGUAGAGGGGGGUAGAAUUCCAGGUGUAGCGGUGAAAUGCGUAGAGAUCUGGAGGAAUACCGGUGGCGAAGGCGGCCCCCUGGACAAAGACUGACGCUCAGGUGCGAAAGCGUGGGGAGCAAACAGGAUUAGAUACCCUGGUAGUCCACGCCGUAAACGAUGUCUACUUGGAGGUUGUGCCCUUGAGGCGUGGCUUCCGGAGCUAACGCGUUAAGUAGACCGCCUGGGGAGUACGGCCGCAAGGUUAAAACUCAAAUGAAUUGACGGGGGCCCGCACAAGCGGUGGAGCAUGUGGUUUAAUUCGAUGCAACGCGAAGAACCUUACCUGGUCUUGACAUCCACAGAACUUUCCAGAGAUGGAUUGGUGCCUUCGGGAAC
This 1037-nucleotide ribosomal RNA is filed under the name Salmonella enterica. RNAcentral describes it as "bacterial SSU rRNA". It matches the Rfam family "Bacterial small subunit ribosomal RNA", at positions 1 to 1027 of the family's 1533-position model. RNAcentral also lists the same sequence under 2 other names. The record is from RNAcentral. Lineage: Bacteria; Pseudomonadati; Pseudomonadota; Gammaproteobacteria; Enterobacterales; Enterobacteriaceae.